GACGAACGCUGGCGGCGUGCUUAACACAUGCAAGUCGAACGCUGAAGCUUGGUGCUUGCACUGGGUGGAUGAGUGGCGAACGGGUGAGUAAUACGUGAGUAACCUGCCCUUGACUCUGGGAUAAGCCUGGGAAACUGGGUCUAAUACUGGAUAUGACAUGCCACUGCAUGGUGGUGUGUGGAAAGGGUUUUACUGGUUUUGGAUGGGCUCACGGCCUAUCAGCUUGUUGGUGGGGUAAUGGCCUACCAAGGCGACGACGGGUAGCCGGCCUGAGAGGGUGACCGGCCACAAUGGGACUGAGAAACGGCCCAGACUCCUACGGGAGGCAGCAGUGGGGAAUAUUGCACAAUGGGCGGAAGCCUGAUGCAGCGACGCCGCGUGAGGGAUGACGGCCUUCGGGUUGUAAACCUCUUUCAGCAAGGAAGAAGCGAGAGUGACGGUACGUGCAGAAGAAGCGCCGGCUAACUACGUG
Molecule: ribosomal RNA, 472 nt
Filed under: uncultured bacterium
Lineage: Bacteria
Description: partial 16S ribosomal RNA
Rfam family: Bacterial small subunit ribosomal RNA
Source: RNAcentral